GGUGAUGUAGCUCAGCUGGUUAGAGCACAGGAUUCAUAAUCCUGGGGUCGUGGGUUCAAGUCCCACUUUCACCACCA
RNAcentral lists this transfer RNA (77 nucleotides) under Bacteroidota bacterium. RNAcentral's name for it is "Bacteroidetes bacterium (freshwater metagenome) tRNA-Met". It matches the Rfam family "tRNA". From Rfam's summary of the family: Transfer RNA (tRNA) molecules are approximately 80 nucleotides in length. Their secondary structure includes four short double-helical elements and three loops (D, anti-codon, and T loops). Further hydrogen bonds mediate the characteristic L-shaped molecular structure. tRNAs have two regions of fundamental functional importance: the anti-codon, which is responsible for specific mRNA codon recognition, and the 3' end, to which the tRNAs corresponding amino acid is attached (by aminoacyl-tRNA synthetases). tRNAs cope with the degeneracy of the genetic code in two manners: having more than one tRNA (with a specific anti-codon) for a particular amino acid; and 'wobble' base-pairing, i.e. permitting non-standard base-pairing at the 3rd anti-codon position. Lineage: Bacteria; Pseudomonadati; Bacteroidota. RNAcentral also lists the same sequence under 2 other names. The record is from RNAcentral.